Molecule: ribosomal RNA, 460 nt
Filed under: uncultured bacterium
Lineage: Bacteria
Description: partial 16S ribosomal RNA
Rfam family: Bacterial small subunit ribosomal RNA
Source: RNAcentral
CCUACGGGCGACAGCAGUGAGGAAUAUUGGUCAAUGGACGAGAGUCUGAACCAGCCAAGUAGCGUGAAGGAUGACUGCCCUAUGGGUUGUAAACUUCUUUUAUAUGGGAAUAAAACGUUCCACGUGUGGGAUUUUGUAUGUACCAUAUGAAUAAGGAUCGGCUAACUCCGUGCCAGCAGCCGCGGUAAUACGGAGGAUCCGAGCGUUAUCCGGAUUUAUUGGGUUUAAAGGGAGCGUAGGUGGAUUGUUAAGUCAGUUGUGAAAGUUUGCGGCUCAACCGUAAGAUUGCAGUUGAAACUGGCAGUCUUGAGUACAGUAGAGGUGGGCGGAAUUCGUGGUGUAGCGGUGAAAUGCUUAGAUAUCACGAAGAACUCCGAUUGCGAAGGCAGUUCACUGGACUGCAACUGACACUGAGGCUCGAAAGUGUGGGUAUCAAACAGGAUUAGAUACCCUGGUAGUC